GGGUGAGUAACACGUGGGCAAUCUGCCCUUCACUCUGGGACAAGCCCUGGAAACGGGGUCUAAUACCGGAUACCACUCCUGCCUGCAUGGGCGGGGGUUGAAAGCUCCGGCGGUGAAGGAUGAGCCCGCGGCCUAUCAGCUUGUUGGUGGGGUAAUGGCCCACCAAGGCGACGACGGGUAGCCGGCCUGAGAGGGCGACCGGCCACACUGGGACUGAGACACGGCCCAGACUCCUACGGGAGGCAGCAGUGGGGAAUAUUGCACAAUGGGCGAAAGCCUGAUGCAGCGACGCCGCGUGAGGGAUGACGGCCUUCGGGUUGUAAACCUCUUUCAGCAGGGAAGAAGCGAAAGUGACGGUACCUGCAGAAGAAGCGCCGGCUAACUACGUGCCAGCAGCCGCGGUAAUACGUAGGGCGCAAGCGUUGUCCGGAAUUAUUGGGCGUAAAGAGCUCGUAGGCGGCUUGUCACGUCGGAUGUGAAAGCCCGAGGCUUAACCUCGGGUCUGCAUUCGAUACGGGCUAGCUAGAGUGUGGUAGGGGAGAUCGGAAUUCCUGGUGUAGCGGUGAAAUGCGCAGAUAUCAGGAGGAACACCGGUGGCGAAGGCGGAUCUCUGGGCCAUUACUGACGCUGAGGAGCGAAAGCGUGGGGAGCGAACAGGAUUAGAUACCCUGGUAGUCCA
This 679-nucleotide ribosomal RNA is filed under the name Streptomyces sp. DI_123_2. RNAcentral describes it as "bacterial SSU rRNA". It matches the Rfam family "Bacterial small subunit ribosomal RNA", at positions 104 to 797 of the family's 1533-position model. The record is from RNAcentral. Lineage: Bacteria; Bacillati; Actinomycetota; Actinomycetes; Kitasatosporales; Streptomycetaceae.